Molecule: transfer RNA, 72 nt
Filed under: Chitinophagaceae bacterium
Lineage: Bacteria; Pseudomonadati; Bacteroidota; Chitinophagia; Chitinophagales; Chitinophagaceae
Description: tRNA-Arg
Rfam family: tRNA
About the family: Transfer RNA (tRNA) molecules are approximately 80 nucleotides in length. Their secondary structure includes four short double-helical elements and three loops (D, anti-codon, and T loops).
Source: RNAcentral
GGUCCCGUAGUACAAUGGAUAGUAUAAGGGUCUCCGAAGCCCUGGAUACAGGUUCGAUUCCUGUCGGGACUA